Long non-coding RNA from Caretta caretta (loggerhead turtle), 6892 nucleotides. RefSeq lists it as uncharacterized. NCBI's taxonomy places the organism in Eukaryota, Metazoa, Chordata, Testudines, Cheloniidae. The record is from RefSeq and is a predicted model, not a curated record.
UCUAGGCAACUAGGCACAUAACUAGAGACCGGGGCAGCAGUGUGUAAGUGCAGGUUUCACAGACACAGCAGUGCCGGCAGGACAGAGGGACACGACUGGCUGGGCAGACGGAGUCAGAGCCAGAGUUGAGAGAGGCGGGCAGAACUCUAGCUUGUGCACAUGGGGCAGCCUCAUCUUCUGGUGCCUGCUGAGCGAGGAACCCCAACUUGUCGAAGAGGACAUGAAAUUGAAUAAAAAAUCCUUGGGUCCUGAUUCUGUCAUCUCAGAUUUCCUUAAGCUUCACCAGGGGAAGUUUGAGUCACAAGACUGAGGUCCCAGUUAGGCUGUGGAAGACUCAAUUCCAGGAACAGAGAAAAAACCAUCUGUGUGGCUGACAGCAUUCUUUCAAAAGACUGACCCAUGAACAGCCAAUCGUUGAGGCACAGGAAUACUAAAAUCGUCUCUCAAUGAAGGGUAUAAAUUCCCAGAGAUUGUAAAGUGGCUUUGGAGUCUUUCAAAGAGCACAGGAACUCAUCCAUGUUCUCAUCAGAAAACAACUUCAAACCAUCAAAAAGGGAGGUCCUGUGCAGUUCUCUGGACCUCUCCAGGAAAGCGGGACAGUUGGAUCCAGAAUGCCGUGCACAUAACUACUGCUGUAGAAUGAUGUCUGCUACAUCUAAGGACACCUGAAGGGAUGUCCUGACCAGUAACUGCCCCUUAGCAAUGAUGGCCUGAAAAUGCUUACUCUUUUCCAGUGGAAGGCCAUAAGAUCCACUGGAUCUUGAAGAACCUGAUCUCAAUCUAAUGAUACAUCUGGAAGAACUGGAAGUUGAACUGGAGGUUUCACUAGCAGAGUCAGAGAUCUAACCAACCAAACUAAUGAGGACAUAUGAAAACCAGUAACAUGGAAUCCGGAAUCCUGUCUGAUUUUCCUAAGAACUCUUGUCAGCGGAGGUAAGAAGGGGAAGUAGUACAAGAGCAUGUUAACUUAGAGAGGCAGAAGCACGUGGGCUGGUGUUGCACUCUACCCCAUACUUUGGGCUAUGCCUAGGGUGACCAGAUGUCCCGAUUUUAUAGGGACAGUCCUGAUUUUUGGGUCUUUUUCUUAUUACCUAUUACCCCUCACCCCCUGUCCCGAUUUUUCACACUUGCUGUCUGGUCACCCUAGCUGUGGCUAACAGGCACAGUAUAGCCCUAAACUAUGGAUACUAAAAUAAGAAAAUAUCAACAAAACUAGAAAUCAUGUACAUGAUUAAAUUGUCUAAAUAGCAGAUAGUGGGAUCACAAAGGGAAUCCUAAAAUAGCAGCCCUGUGCUCUGUGGAUUGUAGGCACUACUUAUUCUUGCCAUGAAAGAAGGAGCCAAAAAGAGCAACAGAGAAGGCAGUGAGGAGAUCAGGCUUCUCACCACAUAAUCCCAGCUUCUGUCUCCUUUUUUGGCAUCUUGAUCCCUGGAGGCAGAAGAAUGGAGCAAUACCUAUGCUCCUCAGAUCACUUCAAGUGUAUACCAAAUAUAUACAAUGUUUUCUUCUAAACAAAACAAACCAAGCUGAGGAUACAACUUUAACCAAAAUCCUUCUUCAGCAUUUUGAAUUCCUUUUUCAAAGGCAAUGAGUUGGAAUAAACUUUACCCCACCAAUAUGCAUGUAUAGCUCAUUAAUAUUCUUUAUGCAAAUAAAUUAUCUAGACUUAUGUAGGAAUAAGAUUAAUUGGGUCUGACAGCAUUUCAUGCAUAAAACUGAAAACAUUACCAAAACUGUAUAGAACACAACAUAGUCAUUUCAGUUCAAUUAAGCUACACAGGAGAUGUAAUCAGAUUCUUUUGUAGCUGUAGCAACAAAAUCCCACUAGAAUUUAGUGUGCAUGCAACGAUAUAAUUAUUUAUACAGUGAUGAUAGCUUCUAAUAACUCUUGUCCUAUGGUAAGAUAUAUUAGCUUGUAAAGCUAUUUCCUUACAAAGUAUUUUUGAUCUUCCAUAAAUAACUCCAGAAAAUACAGACUUUAAAAUUGAUUUUAAAGGGUUUCCAUGAAGUAACACAGUAUAUGCUCAAAAAUCGCUUGUGUGUAAUCUGUCUAAUAAUGUAAAAUUUAUUGAAGCCUGGAGUUCUGUUAAUAUUUUAUAGAUAAAACAUUUUGGGGGUCAAAUUUGAAAGCAGGAUUGAUUUAUUCAGGUGUGUAAUUAUUUGAUAAAAUACUCUUUUUGGGGGGUUAAAAAUGGAUAAUGAUGCCCAGCGUUAUGAGUCAGGAUGCUAGAUUCUAUUUCUAGUGUGCCACCAACAUGCUUUGUCUCCUUACAUAAGUCACUUACACCCUUUGAACCCAGUUUAGCAAAGUAUUUAAGCACAUGCUUAAGUCCAUCCCUAUUCAAAAAGCACAUAAGCCCCAUGCUUAACUUUAAGCACAUGCUAAAUCCCAUUGAUGUGUACAGGACUUAAACAAUUACCUAAAAAUAAGCCUAUGCUUAAGUACUUUGCUGAACAGGGAUGAACUUAUGAACUAGGGCCUUUGUGCUUCAAGGAUGCUCUUACCCAGCUUUGUAAGAAAUGUAUAAAUAUCAAUUAUUAUUACUUUUAUUGAUGUUGAAUGCAGAGGUGAAAGGGGGCUUCAAAACAGUGCAUUGCUAUAUGUGGUGGAGCCAAGCACAACCAUGCUCUCCUUCCUUGAUGGGUCUUUGUGCCUGGACCUGCCCCACUGAGUUCUGUACUCACUGCCCACAAAAGGUGGAGAGAGUGAGCAAAUCGAUAUUGGGAUUCCAUCCCAAGACUAAGGAGACACAAGACAAUGCUGAGAACACAGCAGGCUUCCUCCCGAGACAACACCUACGAGACAAGAUAAUGAAAUGCUCUGAGGUUUUUUAUGCUUCUCAGUUUCUUGUCGAAAUUGAAACAUUUGCCAUUUUAAAAAAAAGUUUGGGGUUUUGCCCGUUCCUCAUUUUUCCUUUAUCCCUGUCUGCCACAGAAUGCACCAGAAUGAACUCUGUCUAGGAUUUUGUCCCUUUUGCUAUUCUGUAACUGCACCCAUCGACUUUAACCAACAAUAUCUGUGAUGUUUAGAUCAACCAAAGAUCUUGUUAAAGUUGAUGGGUGCACUAAGUACCCUUCAUUUCGGCUUAAAUUGCUCCUUCCAUUUAAUACCCUUUUGUGUAGGGAUAGCUGAAACAACAGAUGCCAUUGCCCAAAGGCCAUCAUGGCAAGGCUUGAGCAGAAGCUAAGCGAUAGGGACAGAGGAACACAGGGGCUGGGAAUUGAUUGGUGACAGCUGUAUGUGUCUGCCUGUCAGAAAGGCAAAAAGCAAUGAAAAAGCCAAGAGAAAGCCAGCAGACAAAGCAGUAGUCCCCCAUUUUGUAAUGUAACGUACACACUUGGCAUACUCAAUAUGAGCGAUCACAAGCAUGACCCUGCCAGGGAGCAGAGACAGAGUUCUUUGUGGCACAAGACUUGCUGAAAAAGCAAGCUUGCCAAGGGAUGUGGUAGAUUCUCCUUCACUUAAGUCUUUAAAUCAAGACUAGAUAUCUUCCUAACAGAUAUAUUAUAGCUAAAACAUAAGUUUUAGGCUUGAUGCAGGAAUUUUAUUGAGUGAGGCCUGAUUUCUGAAGGAGAUUAGACUAGAUCAGAACAGUCCCUUCUAGCCUUAAAAUCCAUAUAUUUAUGAAAAUGAGCAUUAGAGCACACUGCAAAGCCCGUUUAUUUUCAGAGCCUUUGGGACAAGUUGUCUGGUUAUACUAAUGUAAGGGUUAAGGUUUUGGUAAUGGAUUUAUGAGUACAGUUUAAUUGUAUUUUUAGUAUAUAUCAAAGACAACUGAAACCAUGGAUAAUAAUAAACCUUUUUUUAAUGUUACUAAAUACAUAAAUAAAUAAUAUUGACACAUAUUAGUUGUGUAUAGUAUAUCCUGUAAAAGUGUUUCAGAUUCUAUUUUUAACUAUCUCAAUCAAAUGCUUCAUAUAAAGAAUGAAACUGGACUUCAUCAACAAAUAUAUUUGUAGUCACUAUUGUAAUUCCUUCCGGUGCCUAAGAAAAGUUAUGCUUAUGUAUUUAUAUUAGCUUCAUUUUUGUUUUUCUUUAAAAGUAAAAAUAGUAUAAAUCACAUGCCCAUAUAAUUUCUAUGUUACCUAACACAGUCACCAAACUGUAACAUCCUAAAUGCAUUCUGCUGAGUCAAGAUGAUUGCCAUUGCAUUUAUCAUCUUUCGGCACAAUUCCCAGAAAUGGUUCAGCUCUAGUUGUACGACGUGAAUUUACAAUAUUGUGUGCUCUAAACUCCAUAGUUUUUCUACCUGAGAAAGCUAGCAAAUUGUGGUUACUACUUUUAAAUCUGUUAAGAUUAAUAGUUAUUUGGCACUUAAUGCAAAUAUACUGAUCAGAAUGCACUUUAUUUAGAGUUGUUUUGAAUUUUAUAUAAGCCUCAAUAAGAACUAAUUUAUAACUCAUCUUUAAUCUAUGUACCAUUAAAAUAAAGCAUUGAUUAUUUGGGUGGGGGGAUAAACAUGCAAAAUUAUAUGUGGCACUUAUUAAUUCUGUAUUCUAAUGAAUUAUGGUCUUCCAUUUUUAGUAAAGUAUUUCUUAUUUUUAAAAAUUACAAAAAUAACUAAUACAAAUCCAGUUCAAAUCAGUAAGUUUCUACAGCUGAUUAAAAAACACAAGAGCAAAUCUAGAAUGUCUCUAGAAACAUAUAGUACUUUGGAAAUGGACAUUACCAUGAGCCAAAUCAUGCCUCUAGGAAGAAAACUACAUGUUAGUGCCAGGAGCUUUCAGAAGGUAUCCCUCCCUCAUGGAGUUUUCCUCCACAUUUGUCUUUUGGGGGCAAGGACCCUGAACCAGCAGAUCUCCAGAGAUCUCAGGAAUCUGCUACAGGACAAAGCCAGCCUAUACAGACCCUGUGUCCAUAUGUUGUUGCAUAGGUCCUUUGAAGCUUUCCCCCAAGCUCCCUGUUGGUAUGGUUGACAAGGGCUGCCUCCUGAUGGCUGCUGCCCCUGUAAUUCCUUUAAAUGGAGUUUCCACAUUGCAAAAAAGAGUCCUUUCAGGAAUUAAUAUAGCCACAGUCUGUAUUAACGUCUAAGCAGAUUAUUUGUGUAGUUGAAAGAGGGACAACAUGAUUUUCACCCCUGGCCCUCCUGUCCCCUCAGGGUGUGUCUAUACUGCAACUAGGCACCCAUGGCUGGCCCAUGCCAGCCGACUCAGGCUUGUGAGGCUAUUUCAUUGCAGUAUAGACUUCUGAGCUCAGGCUGGAGCCAAGCUCUGGGACCCUCCCACCUCACAGAUCCCAGGACCAGGAACUUUUGUAGGGUCUAGGUGAAGGGAAGGUACAAUGCCACAAAGUCAGCUAACCCUAAUCUUCUAUAUGGACAGGAAGAUAUUGGCUCGCAGAGGGUCCCCUCCCCAUAUAGAUCAAUGAAGCAUAAUAUUGCCUAUGUUUUCUACUUUUUCCAAAACAUGUCGCUUACUGUUCUUAAUGCAAUAAAAUCCUUUUCUACUUUUAAAAGUGACUGAAAACUGGAAUUGUGAGGCUCUAUGCUUAAUGUCACCCUGAUUUCCAUAUCAAAUGUGCUCAUUUUACUGGUAAAAAGAUUUUUUCUGUCACUGUCAGCCCUGGGAUCUGAGAGUCAUGCUUGGUUCUUUCCUUCUCAUGCAUCAUCACUUGUAAUAAAAACUCUGCAAGGCAAAAAUAAGCUGUUAAUGACACCUGCCUUCAAAGGGCUUGAACAGGUAUAACUGUGAGGAAUUUAGUAAACAAUUCCGUUGAUGAUGCACUAAAGCAGUGCUUUUCAAACUUUUUUCAUUUGCGGAUCCCUACAAAAUUUCGAAUGGAGGUGUGGACCUCUUUGGAAAUCUUAGACAUAGUCUGCAGACCCCCAGGUUGAACACUACUGCACUAAAGAGACAGAAACCAGCUAACUCUUGCUUAGUUCUAUUGACUCCGACUCUGCAAGGCUAACAGGAGUAGAAUUCCGUGAAAAAUUAUUUUAGUCACUGAAAUCAGAAGAUCUGACUCUGGUAUUUCCUGGGAGAAGAUCUGUUCAGGUGAAGGUGUCAUGAUAUUUACAUAGCCACUUUUCAGCGUAUUACCACACGUUAACCUUUUUUCUCUUCUGAAUUCUUAUUCAAUUAAAAAGCUGCAUUUUAAAAGAUUAUUUAACGAAACACUGAAGAAUAGUGAGAAAUUUCUGUCCUUGACUGAAAGACAAAACUAGACUUUAAACUGAGACUUUUAGCAUUUUGAUUUCAUAAAUAUCACACACUAUCAAUUAUGUUUACGUAAAGAAUUCACAGGUGUAUGUAAUUAGCAUUUGAAUUAACAAAUUAGCCUGUAUCAUACAAUUAAUUUUUUUGUAUUAUGUACAGGCAGAGCCCUUUUUCCUUGGAAACAAGCACCUUAACAUGUGCUACAUUGCUUUCAUAUAAUUAUAUAAACAAAUGUUUUUGAUAUAAUUCAGUAAUAAUCCUACUUCAAGAAAGAAAUAACAUUACAAAAAUUCAUAUCAAGCUCAUCUUUUUUUCUAAUAUGUCAUUUUCAUUUGACUGUUUCCAAAAAGUCUACAUACAGUAUAUUUGGCUCAUCAACAAAUUUUUAUUAUUAAUACACUGUACUUCUGCAAGGCAUUAAAUAAAUUCUGAAUUCACUCCCUCAUGUUAUUUUGGCCUUGAAAGGGGUGGUGAUAUAAAACUACAUCUUUCAGAGAAGUAAUUUAUUUUAAAAACCCAAACAUCUAAAACCAGAAACAAAAUCACAACAGUAAAGGAAAAAAUCCUACAAUCCUUACUCAAGAAUCCUCUCUACAUAAGAAAAAUCCAUAUAAGACCAAGAAACUCAAGGAGUCUGAUUUUCCACUGUCCUUCCUCAGAAUACAGAUUUCAGAGUAACAGCCGUGUUAGUCUGUAUUCGCAAAAAGAAAAGGAGUACUUGUGGCACCUUAGAGAC